GACGAACGCUGGCGGCGUGCUUAACACAUGCAAGUCGAACGGAAAGGCCCUGCUUUUGUGGGGUUCUCGAGUGGCGAACGUGUGAGUAACACGUGAGUAACCUGCCCUUUACUUUGGGAUAACUUCAGGAAACUUGGGCUAAUACCGGAUAGGAGCUCCUGCUGCUUUGUGGGGUUUGUAAUGUUUCGGCGGUUGGGGAUUGACUCGCGGGUUAUCAGCUUGUUGGUGGGGUAGUGGCUUACCAAGGCUUUGACGGGUAGCAGGCAUGAGAGGGUGACCGGAGAAAUGGGGACUGAGAUAGGGCGAAGAAUAAAACGGGAGGCAGGAGUGGGGAAAAGUGAACAAUGGGAGGAAGGCGGAAGAAGAAAAGAGGGGAGCGGGAAGAAGGCCUUGGGGUUGAAAAAAGAUUUAGAAUGAGAAGAAGAGGGAGUGACGGUAAUGGGUAAAGAAGCAAAGGAUAACUACGUG
This 468-nucleotide ribosomal RNA is filed under the name uncultured bacterium. RNAcentral describes it as "partial 16S ribosomal RNA". It matches the Rfam family "Bacterial small subunit ribosomal RNA", at positions 28 to 507 of the family's 1533-position model. The record is from RNAcentral.